Molecule: ribosomal RNA, 488 nt
Filed under: uncultured bacterium
Lineage: Bacteria
Description: partial 16S ribosomal RNA
Rfam family: Bacterial small subunit ribosomal RNA
Source: RNAcentral
GACGAACGCUGGCGGCGUGCUUAACACAUGCAAGUCGAACGGAAAGGCCCUGCUUUUGUGGGGUGCUCGAGUGGCGAACGGGUGAGUAACACGUGAGUAACCUGCCCUUGACUGUGGGAUAACUUCAGGAAACUGGGGCUAAUACCGGAUAGGAGCUCCUGCUGCAUGGUGGGGGUUGGAAAGUUUCGGCGGUGGGGGAUGGACUCGCGGCUUAUCAGCUUGUUGGUGGGGUAGUGGCUUACCCAGGCUUUGACGGGUAGCCGGCCUGAGAGGGUGACCGGCCACCUGGGAAGUUAGACACGCACAAUGGGACUGAGGGAGGGAGCAGUCUCGAACGGGAGGCAACGGGCGGAAAUAUGACACAACGGGGCGGAGUGUGUGACGACAGCCCCGCGUGCGGAAUGACGUCCUUCGGGUUAUAAACCGAUUUCGCCUGAGACGUAGCGUGAGUGACGGUACUGGGUAAAGAAGCACCGGCUAACUACGUA